AAAAGUCAUAGAUACCAUAUCAUUUCAUUUCAAUUUACAAUUUGGUUUUGCAUAAAACAUUUGCAUCAAAGUCAUGGUCAUGGUAGAGAGGGAAUUCCGUUCGAGUUCGCUGAUCGAAGUCAUUUGGAGUGCUCCUAUGACUCGACGUGGUCGUUGCAUCUUGGGAGAUGAUUGCCGGAUAACCAUUAGCACCGAUGCGGGGCAAAUUCAUCUUAAAGACAAAGUGUCCAACACUUGCCUCGGCCAAAAAUCCGUUUGAUCCAAAGAAUUACUUGCUUUCGAUCAUGAGUUGAAAGGGAAGAAUCCAUAUUCAGGUAUUCGGAUUCGAUAAAUUCUUAUUUUGUCUUCUUAAUCCAAUUUCAGUAAGUUGGAAUACGUUUCGAUUUCAUGCAAAUAAACGAUAUGUUUAUUGUGAAUAUAAUAUGCAUAAUUAUCGGUGUAAUUUUUCAACAAUCUUAAGAUGAAUUUUAAGUGGUUUUAUGGUGCAUUUAUAUUCUAAAUUUCGACAAAUAUAUCAUGUGCAUUUUCUGCAAAUUGUUUUGCAUGGAAAUAGUUCAUUUGAAGUGGAAACGGUGUGUCAAUAUGCACGUGUAAAUUGUUAUUAUGCUUCUAUAAGAAUUGGCAUUUAAGUGGAGAGUCAGAAUCCAUGUUUGUGCAUAAUUGUUACAAUUAACAUUGGUUAAUGGAAAUUGGAACAAAGGCAUGAAUUGAUCCUAUUGGUUAUUGAACAAGUGCAUGCGGCAAUUCCAUUAAAAUACAAUUAUGGUGGCCAAGAAUAUACAAUUAAAUGCAUACGUUGCAGUAAUUUGAAAAGGUGACCCAUCAAAAUUUAAGGCAGAAAAUAAUAACGGCAUUUGGUUCAUUCUGUGCCUUUCCAAUUCAUUGAUAGUCACUUUUAUGUUCUUUGAAAGGUUGGGCUCUCAAUUAAUGUCAUUCCAAUUAACUGUGUAUGUGCA
RNAcentral lists this long non-coding RNA (956 nucleotides) under Olea europaea subsp. europaea. Lineage: Eukaryota; Viridiplantae; Streptophyta; Magnoliopsida; Lamiales; Oleaceae. The record is from RNAcentral.